This 961-nucleotide ribosomal RNA is filed under the name uncultured bacterium. RNAcentral's name for it is "bacterial SSU rRNA". It matches the Rfam family "Bacterial small subunit ribosomal RNA", at positions 537 to 1500 of the family's 1533-position model. The record is from RNAcentral.
GGGGGAUGUCGGAUUUACUGGGCGUAAGGGUGCGUAGGUGGAUAUUUAAGUCAGAUGUGAAAUCCCUGAGCUCAACUCAGGGCCUGCAUUUGAAACUGGAUGUCUGGAGUGCGGGAGAGGUAAGUGGAAUUCCUAGUGUAGCGGUGAAAUGCGUAGAGAUUAGGAAGAACACCAGUGGCGAAGGCGACUUACUGGACCGUAACUGACACUGAGGCACGAAAGCGUGGGUAGCAAACAGGAUUAGAUACCCUGGUAGUCCACGCCGUAAACGAUGAGUACUAGGUGUAGGGGGUAUCGACUCCCCCUGUGCCGCAGUUAACACAAUAAGUACUCCGCCUGGGAAGUACGAUCGCAAGAUUAAAACUCAAAGGAAUUGACGGGGGCCCGCACAAGCAGCGGAGCAUGUGGUUUAAUUCGAAGCAACGCGAAGAACCUUACCUAGACUUGACAUACCCUGAAUUACUCGUAACUGAGGAAGCUUUUCGGAGCAGGGAUACAGGUGGUGCAUGGUUGUCGUCAGCUCGUGUCGUGAGAUGUUAGGUUAAGUCCUGCAACGAGCGCAACCCUUAUCAUUAGUUGCUACCAUUCAGUUGAGCACUCUAGUGAGACUGCCCGGGUUAACCGGGAGGAAGGUGGGGAUGACGUCAAAUCAUCAUGCCCCUUAUGUCUAGGGCUACACACGUGCUACAAUGGUGAGUACAAAGAGAUGCAAUCCCGCGAGGGGGAGCCAAACUUAUAAAACUCAUCUCAGUUCGGAUUGUAGGCUGAAACUCGCCUACAUGAAGCUGGAGUUGCUAGUAAUCGCGAAUCAGCAUGUCGCGGUGAAUACGUUCCCGGGCCUUGUACACACCGCCCGUCACACCAUGAGAGCUGGCAACACCCGAAGUCCGUAGUCUAACCGUAAGGAGGACGCGGCCGAAGGUGGGGUUAGUGAUUGGGGGUGAAGUCGUAACAAGGUAAC